GACGAACGCUGGCGGCGUGCUUAACACAUGCAAGUCGAACGGAAAGGCCCUGCUUUUGUGUGGUGCUCGAGUGGCGAACGGGUGAGUAACACGUGAGUAACCUGCCCUUUACUUUGGGAUAACUUCAGGCAACUGGUGCUAAUACCGGAUAGGAGCUCCUGCUGCAUGGUGGUGGUUGGAAAGUUUCGGCGGUUGGGGAUGGACUCGCGGCUUAUCAGCUUGUUGGUGGGGUAGUGGCUUACCAAGGCUUCGACGGGUAGCCGGCCUGAGAGGGUGACCGGCCACAUUGGGACUGAGAUACGGACCAGACUCCUACGGGAGGCAGCAGUGGGGAAUAUUGCACAAUGGGCGGAAGCCUGAUGCAGCAACGCCGCGUGCGGGAUGACGGCCUUCGGGUUGUAAACCGCUUUCGCCUGUGACGAAGCGUGAGUGACGGUAAUGGGUAAAGAAGCACCGGCUAACUACGUG
Molecule: ribosomal RNA, 468 nt
Filed under: uncultured bacterium
Lineage: Bacteria
Description: partial 16S ribosomal RNA
Rfam family: Bacterial small subunit ribosomal RNA
Source: RNAcentral